CAUGGACAUGGUCAGAAAUGUAAGAGACGUCACAUAGCUCCUCACUCAUCUAUAUAAUCCGCUCUUGAGUGUUAUGUGCCUCGUCUGGUGUUUGUAGAGUUGGGUCUGGCGCCUGUGGGACGCUCAUGGCACACGCUAACAGCCGUGUCAGAUACGUCUCUUUUUCUGUUCGGUGGACUCAGUGUGGACUGCAGACCCAUGAGUGACGGCUGGAUGUUUAAUCUGGAGACAAAAGGAUGGACAGAGAUGGAGCAUCAAAACAAGGACAAACCGCGUCUGUGGCACACCGCGUAUCAAGGAAGAGACUCAGAUGUUGUAGUGUUUGGAGGAAGUCAUGAUUAUAUCCUUUUAGUGGACAAAGUGAGUGUUGUGUGCUCCACGGUGUACUGAUAAUUCAGCAAACAUCUGAAGUCUAUAAGCCUGGGUCAGUGAAGAUGAUUUGUUUUGCAGGGCCACUGCAACGAUGCGCUUGUUUCCAGACUCCGCCGCAGCCGCUGAUGCGGGAACAAUCACUGAACUGUGGAACAGGAAUUAUGGGCUGAUGGAGAACAGACUAAUGCGAUGUAUUUCCACAGAUUAUGCCAAGACUUCAUUGCAAGCUACGCCGGCAUGUUUCAGUACCAGAUUCUCUGUUUACCACCAAAACUGAGAAACGCUGUGCAGAAAAGGACGAUUUUCUUCAGGCCAAGCACAGAGUCACAGAAUGUGGAAUGAUUUGUUU
This is a long non-coding RNA of Sinocyclocheilus rhinocerous, 721 nucleotides long. RefSeq lists it as uncharacterized. Lineage: Eukaryota; Metazoa; Chordata; Actinopteri; Cypriniformes; Cyprinidae. The transcript has 3 exons. The record is from RefSeq and is a predicted model, not a curated record.